RNAcentral lists this ribosomal RNA (443 nucleotides) under uncultured bacterium. RNAcentral describes it as "partial 16S ribosomal RNA". It matches the Rfam family "Bacterial small subunit ribosomal RNA", at positions 338 to 795 of the family's 1533-position model. The record is from RNAcentral.
CCUACGGGAGGCAGCAGUGGGGAAUAUUGCACAAUGGGCGCAAGCCUGAUGCAGCGACGCCGCGUGAAGGAAGAAGGCUUUCGGGUUGUAAAGUUCUUUUCUGAGGGACGAAGAUAUUGACGGUACCUUAGGAAUAAGCCACGGCUAACUUCUGGCCAGCAGCCGCGUUAAUACGUAGGGGGCAAGCGUUUUCCGGAUUUGUUGGGUGUAAUGGGCGUGUAGGCGGGAAAGCAAGUCCGCUGUGAAAACUCAGGGCUCAACCCUGGGCCUGCAUUUGAAACUGUUUUACUUGAGUGCUGGAGAGACAAGCGGAAUUCCGUGUGUAGCGGUGAAAUGCGUAGAUAUACGGAAGAACACCAGUGGCGAAGGCGGAUUGCUGGACAGUAACUGACGCUGAGGCGCGAAAGCGUGGGGAGCAAACAGGAUUAGAUACCCGUGUAGUC